GAGUGCUCCCCAUGUUUCUGAUGAUUGAGCUCAUCACGGUCUUGAGAUUGUGUUUCAGAACGCCGUGGAGCUGGAACGUUUGCCUGGUGGUUAAACGGAGCGUGCCGAUGCCGAACUCGUCGGCUAAGUCGUCCAUGGUGAGGUAGAGCUGGUUGGGGACUUUGCCGCUCGGGUUCUUGGUGCGGAGCAUGAAGGAGUAUGAUCUUCCGCCGCGUUCCUCUCGGUUGUACUGUUGGUAGCUUCCGUGGAACUUGAUGAGCUGCACGGCGGAUUCGUUGACGUUGGGGGCUUCUGUUAGGAGCUCCUCGUUGAGAGGGUACCUGAUGAAGUUGCUCUUCUCCUUGAUGAUCUCGACCUUACUCCUCUUGGUGGUGGCUUUCCGUGCCGAUGCCGAACUCGUCGGCUAAGUCGUCCAUGGUGAGGUAGAGCUGGUUAGGGACUUUGCCGCUCGGGUUCUUGGUGCGGAGCAUGAAGGAGUAGGAUCUUCCGCCGCGUUCCUCACGGUUGUACUGUUGGUAGCUUCCGUGGAACUUGAUGAGCUGCACGGCGGAUUCGUUGACAUUGGGGGCUUCUGUUAGGAGCUCCUCGUUGAGAGGGUACCUGAUGAAGUUGCUCUUCUCCUUGAUGAUCUCG
This 633-nucleotide long non-coding RNA is filed under the name Brassica napus (rape). RNAcentral describes it as "long non-coding RNA (BNAP_LNC010460)". The record is from RNAcentral. Lineage: Eukaryota; Viridiplantae; Streptophyta; Magnoliopsida; Brassicales; Brassicaceae.